Molecule: long non-coding RNA, 873 nt
Filed under: Rattus norvegicus (Norway rat)
Lineage: Eukaryota; Metazoa; Chordata; Mammalia; Rodentia; Muridae
Description: long non-coding RNA NONRATT019373
Source: RNAcentral
CUGUGCUCAGAGCUAAAGCAGCCAAGGGCCUUUCAGAAAGAACUAUAAACAGUCGUGAUCAAGAGUGGAUUGCAUACAACCUGUGGGCGUCUCGGUUGGCUCUUCUCACGUACCCAUCAGCCCUUCUGCUUGGAAUGGGAUGACGCCCUCAGCAGACACUGAGGAGAUGUGGCUGCCAUGAACUCCCAACCCCCCCAGAACUGGGAAACAUUGAAUGUUCUUCAACCAAGCUUUACUCUCUCAACUCACCCUCAGAAUCCGAUUGAAGUCUUCCUUGUCAACUCUUAGGAAGUGACAAUUAUCUUCCCGAAGAACAAUGGAUGCAGCUCUCGGAGCAUCGUUCACCAGAGCUAACUUGCCAAAGUCAUCUCCCUCAUGCAGGGUGCAGACCACACCCUGGGGAGAGCAGGACAGUCAGGAAAAAAAAAAGGGACCAAAAACCCUCCUUCCCCUCCCCUGCCACCAAACACCGUGCCUGUGAGUGGACUGCAUUAGUGUUAUAAUCAGAUUAAAAUGCUUCAUAUUUCUUUCACAGAAUAAACACAGUCAAUGAAUGACUCUGAGUGCAAUAAUUGAGGAAAUGUAUGAUUAAAGAUGAAAUUAUGUCUUUUCUACGUGGAGUAACAAUGCCAUGAUCUGAUCACAGAACUGAAGAACAAGGUGAAUUCUAGAGAGAGGCCCCAUAUGAGUGUACCACUGACUAUGUGAGUCUCUGAUGACUGAUACUAAAUGAGUUUCUGAGGCAAAGAAAUCCUCUUGGGCUUGGAGUCCAUGGUGCAGUGUGAAGAAAACCGGGAAACACAAUACUUCAAACAGAACAGUAACAGGAAGUUUCGAGAAAUUAGUUUUUUGUAAAUAAAGCCCUUUUUAGUG